Rhagoletis pomonella (apple maggot) is the source of this 1055-nucleotide long non-coding RNA. RefSeq lists it as uncharacterized. The transcript is spliced from 3 exons. NCBI's taxonomy places the organism in Eukaryota, Metazoa, Arthropoda, Insecta, Diptera, Tephritidae. The record is from RefSeq and is a predicted model, not a curated record.
AUGUAAGUAUUUGUGCAUCCAUUUGAAGUAUAUGUGUGUGUAUAUACAGUGAUUUUACUUGUGUUUCCAUUUAAAGCAAGAACCGCCUGCAAAGAGAUGUCGCAUCCACCAGGAGUUGACUUCUGGAAGAUUCAAUGAAAUUGAGUUUGCGAUUAUAGAAGCGGCAUUUAGUUUAAGUGAGUCGAGUGGCAGUGAUUCUUAUGGCGACGAAGUACUCUGUCUGCUUUAUUUGCAUAAUAUAUUAAAUUAACAAGUACUCCUCUUAAAAGAAAUUGCAUCAUCUGAAAAAACACCACGAAAUUGUGUUAAAAACUACUUAGAAGCGGUGGUGCCAACUUAAACGUAGCGGGAGUUUCGUUCGCAUUUCAGGAUUCAGCGCAGUUUAGAUGUUUUUAUCGACAGGAAGGGUUCCUACAGCUUAUGUUUACAAGGUGACGAAAGGAAAAAAUAUAUCAAUAUAUUUGUAGGGUACCAAGGCUCGUCACACGACAGUUGGGUUUUCCAAAAUUCGCGCUUAUACUACAAUCUCUCAGAAUUUUGUGGAGACUACUAUUUAUUGGGAGAUUCUGCCUAUCCGUUCUCUGCGCAUGUAAUUACGCCCUAUCGUGAUAAUGGACAUUUAACCCAUGGGCAGAAAAUAUUUAACAUAAAGCUGACGUCAGGAAGAGUGGCGAUUGAACAUACGUUCGGUAUUAUUCCAAGCUUUCGGCAGUAGUAUUAUUCCAAGCUUCGAGGCAUUGAUAAGUUGUGACAUUUCAUUCGCGCGUGCUGCGUUCUUCACAAUAUUGCAAACCUAGAUGAUUUGGAAUUAUCCUGUUCCAACAAAUAUAAGAGGAAGCUUAUUGCGAGAAGCAAUAUGUAGAGAUAUCCAAAGGCGCCAAAGAAUUUAAAAUGUUAAUAAUUACAUAUAUUUUAAUUUACGAGCAAGAAUCUUCUUGCAUUUCUACAAUAAUUUUUUUUUACACUUAAUCUUAAAAUAAAUACUUGUAAUAUUGUUACAAUUCAUUUAUUUAACAAUUAAUAGUAAUAUAAAAUGGUUUUGGUACAAAUUUAAA